RNAcentral lists this ribosomal RNA (877 nucleotides) under Halicephalobus sp. KW-1A-9. RNAcentral's name for it is "LSU rRNA". It matches the Rfam family "Eukaryotic large subunit ribosomal RNA", at positions 50 to 966 of the family's 3401-position model. The record is from RNAcentral. Lineage: Eukaryota; Metazoa; Nematoda; Chromadorea; Rhabditida; Panagrolaimidae.
GCGGAGGGRAAAGAAACUAACAAGGAUUCCCUUAGUAACUGCGAGUGAAACGGGAAAAGCUCAACGCUGAAUCUCUAUGGUUUAAAUACUAUAGCGAACUGUAGCGUAUAGGAAUGUAUUAUGGCAUUAUGUAGAUAUCCAAGUUCUCGUUGAUUCGAGUUCCAUAGAAGGUUUAAGACCUGUCGGGUAUCUAACAUUUUGUCAAUGAUAUGUCCCUGUGAGUCGGGUUGUUUGGAAACGCAGCCCAAAGUAGGUGGUAAACUCCAUCUAAAGCUAAAUAUAACCGUGAGACCAAUAGUAAACAAGUACUGUGAAGGAAAGUUGAAAAGUACUCUGAAGAGAGAGUUAAAAGAACGUGAAAACGAUCAAGUGGAAGCAAACAGGUCUGUUGGAAGAUAUGUAUUUUUAUAUAUGUCUGAUAAUAGAUAUGUAAAGUUGUAUAUCUUAGUAUAUGAGGAGCCAUUUAUGGAAAACCCUAUAUUGAGUUAAAACAAUCUUUAUAUAUACUAUUAUCAUUAAUGACAGUUACCUGUUUGACCCGUCUUGAAACACGGACCAAGAAGUUUAUUGUAUACGCGAGUCAUUAAGUGUUAAACUUAUUGGCAUAAUGAAAGUAAAGGUAUAGUAAUAUACUUAUGUGGGAUAAUGUAUUUAUGAAUACAUUCGCACCACAGUCCUGUUAUAGUGGUUUACCAUAUAGCGGAGAUAUAGCGUAUGCAAUGAGACCCGAAAGAUGGUGAUCUAUGCUUGAGCAGGAUGAAGCCGGAGGAAACUCUGGUGAAAGUCCGUAACGGUUCUGACGUGCAAAUCGAUCGUCUGACUUGAGUAUAGGGGCGAAAGACUAAUCGAACCAUCUAGUAGCUGGUUCCUUCCGAAA